This 255-nucleotide ribosomal RNA is filed under the name uncultured bacterium. Its description in RNAcentral is "partial 16S ribosomal RNA". It matches the Rfam family "Bacterial small subunit ribosomal RNA", at positions 524 to 776 of the family's 1533-position model. The record is from RNAcentral.
UACGAAGGGGGGCUAGCGUUGCUCGGAAUUACUGGGCGUAAAGGGCGCGUAGGCGGAUAUUUAAGUUGGGGGUGAAAUCCCGGGGCUCAACCUCGGAAUUGCCUUCAAAAACUGGAUAUCUUGAGUUCGGGAGAGGUGAGUGGAACUCCGAGUGUAGAGGUGAAAUUCGUAGAUAUUCGGAAGAACACCAGUGGCGAAGGCGACUCACUGGCCCGAUACUGACGCUGAGGCGCGAAAGCGUGGGGAGCGAACAGG